AAUGAACGUUGGCGGCAUGGAUUAGGCAUGCAAGUCGAGCGAGAAGCUUUAGUUUGACGCUUCGGUUGAAGACUAAAGUGGACAGCGGCGAAAGGGUGAGUAACGCGUAGUUACGUGCCCCAGGGUCUAGAAUAGCCACGGGAAACUGUGGGUAAUGCUAGAUAAUAUCUCCGGAUCAAAGGUGAGAUUCCGCCCUGGGAGCGGACUGCGUCCUACUAGCUUGUUGGUGGGGUAAAGGCCUACCAAGGCUUCGAUGGGUAGCGGGCGUGAGAGCGUGGCCCGUCACACUGGGACUGAGACACUGCCCAGACACCUACGGGUGGCUGCAGUCGAGAAUCUUCGGCAAUGGACGAAAGUCUGACCGAGCGAUGCCGCGUGUGGGAUGAAGGCCUUCGGGUUGUAAACCACUGUCAGUUUGGGAGAAGGCUCCGUGAAGAGCGGAGUUUGACCUAUCUUCAGAGGAAGUCCGGGCUAAGUUCGUGCCAGCGCCGCGGUAA
This 497-nucleotide ribosomal RNA is filed under the name uncultured bacterium. RNAcentral's name for it is "bacterial SSU rRNA". It matches the Rfam family "Bacterial small subunit ribosomal RNA", at positions 29 to 523 of the family's 1533-position model. The record is from RNAcentral.